Molecule: small nuclear RNA, 102 nt
Organism: Trichosurus vulpecula (common brushtail)
Lineage: Eukaryota; Metazoa; Chordata; Mammalia; Diprotodontia; Phalangeridae
Source: RefSeq, a predicted model, not a curated record
GUGCUCACUUGGGCAGCACGUGUACUAAAAUUGUAAUGAUACAGAGAUUAGCAUGGCCCCUGCUCCGGGAUGACACAACUUUGUGAAGCAUUCCCUAUUUUA